RNAcentral lists this ribosomal RNA (253 nucleotides) under uncultured bacterium. RNAcentral's name for it is "partial 16S ribosomal RNA". It matches the Rfam family "Bacterial small subunit ribosomal RNA", at positions 524 to 776 of the family's 1533-position model. The record is from RNAcentral.
GACAGAGGGGGCAAGCGUUGCUCGGAAUUACUGGGCGUAAAGGGCGCGUAGGCGGGAUGGCAAGUCGGUCGUGAAAUCCUUCGGCUCAACCGAAGAACGUCGAUCGAUACUGCUGUUCUUGAGGGUUGCAGAGGAGACUGGAAUUCCCGGUGUAGCGGUGAAAUGUGUAGAGAUCGGGAGGAACACCGGUGGCGAAGGCGGGUCUCUGGGCAAUUCCUGACGCUGAGGCACGAAGGUCAGGGGAGCAAACGGG